Molecule: small nuclear RNA, 106 nt
Organism: Pelobates fuscus (common spadefoot toad)
Lineage: Eukaryota; Metazoa; Chordata; Amphibia; Anura; Pelobatidae
Source: RefSeq, a predicted model, not a curated record
UUCCACAAUAAUGCCGUGGAAAUAUAAAAUUGGAACGAUACAGAGAAGAUUAGCAUGGCCCCUGCGCAAGGAUGACACACAAAUUUGUGAAGCGUUCCAUAUUUUU